CCUACGGGUGGCACCAGUAGGGAAUUUUUCACAAUGGGCGAAAGCCUGAUGGAGCAAUGCCGCGUGUUUGAUGACGGCCUUUGGGUUGUAAAAAACUGUUAUAUGGGAUGAAAAAAAUAGAUAGGAAAUGAUCUAUUAUUGACAGUACCAUAUUAGAAAGCCACGGCUAACUACGUGCCAGCAGCCGCGGUAAUACGUAGGUGGCAAGCAUUAUCCGGAAUUAUUGGGUGUAAAGGGAGCGUAGACGGUUUUAUAAGUCUGAGGUUAAAUGCAUAAGCUUAACUUAUGCCUGCCUUAGAAACUAUGAAACUAGAAUGUGAUAGAGGACAAUGGAAUUCCAUGUGUAGCGGUGGAAUGCAUAGAUAUACGGAGGAACACCAAUUGCGAAAGCAGUUGUCUGGGUCAUUAUUGACGUUGAGGCUCGAAAGCAUGGGGAGCAAAUAGGAUUAGAUACCCGCGUAGUC
Molecule: ribosomal RNA, 464 nt
Filed under: uncultured bacterium
Lineage: Bacteria
Description: bacterial SSU rRNA
Rfam family: Bacterial small subunit ribosomal RNA
Source: RNAcentral